RNAcentral lists this ribosomal RNA (460 nucleotides) under uncultured bacterium. Its description in RNAcentral is "partial 16S ribosomal RNA". It matches the Rfam family "Bacterial small subunit ribosomal RNA", at positions 338 to 795 of the family's 1533-position model. The record is from RNAcentral.
CCUACGGGUGGCUGCAGUGAGGAAUAUUGGUCAAUGGACGAGAGUCUGAACCAGCAAAGUAGCGUGAAGGAUGACUGCCCUAUGGGUUGUAAACUUCUUUUAUAUGGGACUAAAAUGUUCCACGUGUGGGAUUUUGUAUGUACCAUAUGAAUAAGGAUCGGCUAACUCCGUGCCAGCAGCCGCGGUAAUACGGAGGAUCCGAGCGUUAUCCGGAUUUAUUGGGUUUAAAGGGAGCGUAGGUGGAUUGUUAAGUCAGUUGUGAAAGUUUGCGGCUCAACCGUAAAAUUGCAGUUGAAACUGGCAGUCUUGAGUACAGUAGAGGUGGGCGGAAUUCGUGGUGUAGCGGUGAAAUGCUUAGAUAUCACGAAGAACUCCGAUUGCGAAGGCAGUUCACUGGACUGCAACUGACACUGAGGCUCGAAAGUGUGGGUAUCAAACAGGAUUAGAUACCCUAGUAGUC